Molecule: small nucleolar RNA, 70 nt
Organism: Hyla sarda
Lineage: Eukaryota; Metazoa; Chordata; Amphibia; Anura; Hylidae
Product: small nucleolar RNA SNORA5
Exons: 1
Source: RefSeq, a predicted model, not a curated record
UACAGCCGUGUGAAUUUCGGUCCCCGCCGUGCGCCGGGCGGGGACCGGACCGGGGUGACUGCUGAUAUCA